Molecule: ribosomal RNA, 301 nt
Filed under: uncultured bacterium
Lineage: Bacteria
Description: partial 16S ribosomal RNA
Rfam family: Bacterial small subunit ribosomal RNA
Source: RNAcentral
CAGUAGCACGGUAAUACAGAGGUCUCAAGCGUUGUUCGGAUUCAUUGGGCGUAAAGGGAGCGUAGGCGGUCGGGUAAGUUGGAUGUGAAAUCCUGGGGCUCAACCUCAGAACUGCAUUCAAUACUGCUUGGCUAGAGUACUGGAGAGGUGAGUGGAAUUCACGGUGUAGCAGUGAAAUGCGUAGAUAUCGUGAGGAAGACCAGCGGCGAAGGCGGCUCACUGGACAGUUACUGACGCUGAUGCUCGAAGGCCAGGGGAGCAAACGGGAUUAGAUACCCGAGUAGUCCCUGUCUCUUAUACA